Molecule: ribosomal RNA, 439 nt
Filed under: Escherichia coli
Lineage: Bacteria; Pseudomonadati; Pseudomonadota; Gammaproteobacteria; Enterobacterales; Enterobacteriaceae
Description: partial 23S ribosomal RNA
Rfam family: Bacterial large subunit ribosomal RNA
Source: RNAcentral
AAGCAGCCAUCAUUUAAAGAAAGCGUAAUAGCUCACUGGUCGAGUCGGCCUGCGCGGAAGAUGUAACGGGGCUAAACCAUGCACCGAAGCUGCGGCAGCGACGCUGAUGCGUUGUUGGGUAGGGGAGCGUUCUGUAAGCCUGUGAAGGUGUGCUGUGAGGCAUGCUGGAGGUAUCAGAAGUGCGAAUGCUGACAUAAGUAACGAUAAAGCGGGUGAAAAGCCCGCUCGCCGGAAGACCAAGGGUUCCUGUCCAACGUUAAUCGGGGCAGGGUGAGUCGACCCCUAAGGCGAGGCCGAAAGGCGUAGUCGAUGGGAAACAGGUUAAUAUUCCUGUACUUGGUGUUACUGCGAAGGGGGGACGGAGAAGGCUAUGUUGGCCGGGCGACGGUUGUCCCGGUUUAAGCGUGUAGGCUGGUUUUCCAGGCAAAUCCGGAAAAUC